RNAcentral lists this ribosomal RNA (492 nucleotides) under uncultured bacterium. RNAcentral describes it as "partial 16S ribosomal RNA". It matches the Rfam family "Bacterial small subunit ribosomal RNA", at positions 29 to 507 of the family's 1533-position model. The record is from RNAcentral.
AGUGAACGCUGGCGGUAGACCUAACACAUGCAAGUCGAACGGCAGCACAGUAAGAGCUUGCUCUUACGGGUGGCGAGUGGCGGACGGGUGAGGAAUACAUCGGAAUCUACUUUUUCGUGGGGGAUAACGUAGGGAAACUUACGCUAAUACCGCAUACGACCUACGGGUGAAAGCAGGGGAUCUUCGGACCUUGCGCGAUUGAAUGAGCCGAUGUCGGAUUAGCUAGUUGGCGGGGUAAAGGCCCACCAAGGCGACGAUCCGUAGCUGGUCUGAGAGGAUGAUCAGCCACACUGGAACUGAGACACGGUCCAGACUCCUACGGGAGGCAGCAGUGGGGAAUAUUGGACAAUGGGCGCAAGCCUGAUCCAGCCAUACCGCGUGGGUGAAGAAGGCCUUCGGGUUGUAAAGCCCUUUUGUUGGGAAAGAAAAGCAGCAGGUUAAUACCCCGCUGUUCCGACGGUACCCAAAGAAUAAGCACCGGCUAACUUCGUG